UGAGGUGAAAAGCUCAGCUAGGUCCUGGCUC
Molecule: non-coding RNA, 31 nt
Filed under: Homo sapiens (human)
Lineage: Eukaryota; Metazoa; Chordata; Mammalia; Primates; Hominidae
Source: RNAcentral